RNAcentral lists this ribosomal RNA (450 nucleotides) under uncultured bacterium. RNAcentral's name for it is "bacterial SSU rRNA". It matches the Rfam family "Bacterial small subunit ribosomal RNA", at positions 354 to 796 of the family's 1533-position model. The record is from RNAcentral.
GUGGGGAAUAUUGGACAAUGGGCGAAAGCCUGAUCCAGCCAUGCCGCGUGUGUGAAGAAGGUCUUCGGAUUGUAAAGCACUUUAAGUUGGGAGGAAGGGCAGUAAGUUAAUACCUUGCUGUUUUGAUGUUACCGACAGAAUAAGCACCGGCUAACUUCGUGCCAGCAGCCGCGGUAAUACGAAGGGUGCAAGCGUUAAUCGGAAUUACUGGGCGUAAAGCGCGCGUAGGGGGUUUUGUAAGUUGGAGGUGAAAUCCCCGGGCUCAACCUGGGAACUGCCUCCAAAACUGCAUGACUAGAGGACGGUAGAGGGUAGUGGAAUUUCCUGUGUAGCGGUGAAAUGCGUAGAUAUAGGAAGGAACACCAGUGGCGAAGGCGACUACCUGGACUGAUACUGACACUGAGGUGCGAAAGCGUGGGGAGCAAACAGGAUUAGAUACCCCGGUAGUCC